UUAGUUGAAGCCAAAAUAGAGGCGUAUUACUGUUAAUAAUAAAAAUGGGUAACAACAUAUUGUCCCCAACUAAG
Molecule: transfer RNA, 74 nt
Filed under: Ctenolepisma longicaudatum (long-tailed silverfish)
Lineage: Eukaryota; Metazoa; Arthropoda; Insecta; Zygentoma; Lepismatidae
Description: tRNA-Asn
Source: RNAcentral